UGAAGGUAGAGGUGCGGACACUAAGAGUAUGGACUUGGAGAAAGGUGAGUUUCGACGAAAAGUCUUGAAAGGAGUGGACUGCCGAAGUGAAAAAAGGCUCAUCCUUUUUUUUGCUGGUUCUGCAACCGAAUAGGUGCAGAAUUGUCAAGACAUAUUGUCUUGGAGAGCUAUCUU
RNAcentral lists this non-coding RNA (174 nucleotides) under Robertmurraya massiliosenegalensis. RNAcentral describes it as "Lysine riboswitch". It matches the Rfam family "Lysine riboswitch aptamer". From Rfam's summary of the family: Riboswitches are metabolite binding domains within certain messenger RNAs that serve as precision sensors for their corresponding targets. Allosteric rearrangement of mRNA structure is mediated by ligand binding, and this results in modulation of gene expression. This family includes riboswitches that sense lysine in a number of genes involved in lysine metabolism, including lysC. The record is from RNAcentral. Lineage: Bacteria; Bacillati; Bacillota; Bacilli; Caryophanales; Bacillaceae.